Molecule: ribosomal RNA, 496 nt
Filed under: uncultured bacterium
Lineage: Bacteria
Description: partial 16S ribosomal RNA
Rfam family: Bacterial small subunit ribosomal RNA
Source: RNAcentral
GAUGAACGCUGGCGGCGUGCCUAAUACAUGCAAGUCGAGCGAACGGACGAGAAGCUUGCUUCUCUGAUGUUAGCGGCGGACGGGUGAGUAACACGUGGAUAACCUACCUAUAAGACUGGGAUAACUUCGGGAACCGGAGCUUAUUCCGGAUAAUUUUUUUGAACGCAUUGUUCAAAAGGGAAAGAAGGUCUUGCUUUUCCCUAUAGAUGGAUCCGCGCUGCAUUAGCUAGUUGGUAAGGUAACGGCUUACCAAGGCAACGAUGCAUAGCCGACCUGAGAGGGUGAUCGGCCACACUGGAACUGAGACACGGUCCAGACUCCUACGGGAGGCAGCAGUAGGGAAUCUUCCGCAAUGGGCGAAAGCCUGACGGAGCAACGCCGCGUGAGUGAUGAAGGUCUUCGGAUCGUAAAACUCUGUUAUUAGGGAAGAACAUAUGUGUAAGUAACUGUGCACAUCUUGACGGUACCUAAUCAGAAAGCCACGGCUAACUACGUG